RNAcentral lists this ribosomal RNA (158 nucleotides) under Lentistoma bipolare. RNAcentral's name for it is "5.8S ribosomal RNA". It matches the Rfam family "5.8S ribosomal RNA". Rfam says of the family: 5.8S ribosomal RNA (5.8S rRNA) is a component of the large subunit of the eukaryotic ribosome. It is transcribed by RNA polymerase I as part of the 45S precursor that also contains 18S and 28S rRNA. Lineage: Eukaryota; Fungi; Ascomycota; Dothideomycetes; Pleosporales; Lophiostomataceae. The record is from RNAcentral.
CAACUUUCAACAAUGGAUCUCUUGGCUCUGGCAUCGAUGAAGAAGGCAGCGAAAUGCGAUAAGUAGUGUGAAUUGCAGAAUUCAGUGAAUCAUCGAAUCUUUGAACGCACAUUGCGCCCUUUGGUAUUCCUUAGGGCAUGCCUGUUCGAGCGUCAUUU